This 405-nucleotide ribosomal RNA is filed under the name uncultured bacterium. RNAcentral describes it as "partial 16S ribosomal RNA". It matches the Rfam family "Bacterial small subunit ribosomal RNA", at positions 30 to 526 of the family's 1533-position model. The record is from RNAcentral.
AUUGAACGCUGGCGGCAGGCCUAACACAUGCAAGUCGAACGAGUGGCGGACGGGUGAGUAAUGUUUGGGAAUCUAGCUUAUGGCGGGGGAUAACUACGGGCAACUGUAGCUAAUACCGCGUACCAUAGGAUGAUCCCAAGUGGGAUUAGGUAGUUGGUGGGGUAAAGGCUCACGAAGCCGACGAUCUCUAGCUGGUCUGAGAGGAUGACCAGCCACACUGGGACUGAGACACGGCCCAGACUCCUACGGGAGGCAGCGGUGGGGAAUAUUGCGCAAUGGGGGCAACCUGACGCAGCCAUGCCGCGUGGAUGAAGAAGGCCUUCGGGUUGUAAAGUUCUUUCGGUAGCGAGGCGUUAACUACAGAAGAAGCACCGGCUAACUCCGUGCCAGCAGCCGCGGUAAUAC